CAGUCGCCACGGUAAUACAGAGGGUGCAAGCGUUAAUCGGAAUUACUGGGCGUAAAGCGUGCGUAGGCGGUGAGCUAAGUCUGCUGUGAAAUCCCCGGGCUCAACCUGGGAAUGGCAGUGGAUACUGGCUCGCUAGAGUGUGUCAGAGGAUGGUGGAAUUCCCGGUGUAGCGGUGAAAUGCGUAGAGAUCGGGAGGAACAUCAGUGGCGAAGGCGGCCAUCUGGGACAACACUGACGCUGAGGCACGAAAGCGUGGGGAGCAAACAGGAUUAGAUACCCCAGUAGUCCCUGUCUCUUAUAC
Molecule: ribosomal RNA, 301 nt
Filed under: uncultured bacterium
Lineage: Bacteria
Description: partial 16S ribosomal RNA
Rfam family: Bacterial small subunit ribosomal RNA
Source: RNAcentral